This 23-nucleotide microRNA is filed under the name Prunus persica (peach). RNAcentral describes it as "microRNA miRNA_254". The record is from RNAcentral. Lineage: Eukaryota; Viridiplantae; Streptophyta; Magnoliopsida; Rosales; Rosaceae.
CUCGGACCAGGCUUCAUUCCCCC